AUGCCCCUGGACUUCACCAAGCACUUCGUCGCGGUGCCAACGGAGUUCAAGCUGAGGAACAACAUCGGCUGCUCCUGGAGGGUGACAGUGAAGCUGAUGAACGGUAGGGUGACCCUGGAUCGGGGUUGGGCCACCUACGCCGCCGUUCAUCGGAUCAAGAUCGACUACAUGGUGUUCAAGCUCCUGACUCCCGACACCCUCAAGGUCAUCAUCUUCGACGAUGAUGGCAUUGAGGCGGUCAACAAGUGCGGGAAGCACAACGAAGCCUUCGCCGCCAGGGACUAG
RNAcentral lists this ribosomal RNA (285 nucleotides) under Triticum aestivum (bread wheat). RNAcentral's name for it is "partial small subunit ribosomal RNA". The record is from RNAcentral. Lineage: Eukaryota; Viridiplantae; Streptophyta; Magnoliopsida; Poales; Poaceae.